RNAcentral lists this ribosomal RNA (820 nucleotides) under Micrococcineae bacterium ACEMC 22-1. Its description in RNAcentral is "bacterial SSU rRNA". It matches the Rfam family "Bacterial small subunit ribosomal RNA", at positions 45 to 870 of the family's 1533-position model. The record is from RNAcentral. Lineage: Bacteria; Bacillati; Actinomycetota; Actinomycetes; Micrococcales.
UGCUUAACACAUGCAAGUCGAACGCUGAAGCUUGGUGCUUGCACUGGGUGGAUGAGUGGCGAACGGGUGAGUAAUACGUGAGUAACCUGCCCUUGACUCUGGGAUAAGCCUGGGAAACUGGGUCUAAUACUGGAUACGACAUGUCACCGCAUGGUGGUGUGUGGAAAGGGUUUUACUGGUUUUGGAUGGGCUCACGGCCUAUCAGCUUGUUGGUGGGGUAAUGGCUCACCAAGGCGACGACGGGUAGCCGGCCUGAGAGGGUGACCGGCCACACUGGGACUGAGACACGGCCCAGACUCCUACGGGAGGCAGCAGUGGGGAAUAUUGCACAAUGGGCGGAAGCCUGAUGCAGCGACGCCGCGUGAGGGAUGACGGCCUUCGGGUUGUAAACCUCUUUCAGCACGGAAGAAGCGAAAGUGACGGUACGUGCAGAAGAAGCGCCGGCUAACUACGUGCCAGCAGCCGCGGUAAUACGUAGGGCGCAAGCGUUGUCCGGAAUUAUUGGGCGUAAAGAGCUCGUAGGCGGUUUGUCGCGUCUGCUGUGAAAGCCCGGGGCUUAACCCCGGGUGUGCAGUGGGUACGGGCAGACUUGAGUGCAGUAGGGGAGACUGGAAUUCCUGGUGUAGCGGUGAAAUGCGCAGAUAUCAGGAGGAACACCGAUGGCGAAGGCAGGUCUCUGGGCUGUUACUGACGCUGAGGAGCGAAAGCAUGGGGAGCGAACAGGAUUAGAUACCCUGGUAGUCCAUGCCGUAAACGUUGGGCACUAGGUGUGGGGAACAUUCCACGUUUUCCGCGCCGUAGCUAACGCAUUAAGUGCCCC